Molecule: ribosomal RNA, 1039 nt
Filed under: uncultured beta proteobacterium
Lineage: Bacteria; Pseudomonadati; Pseudomonadota; Betaproteobacteria
Description: bacterial SSU rRNA
Rfam family: Bacterial small subunit ribosomal RNA
Source: RNAcentral
GGUGUGCUAAUACCGCAUAAUCUCUCAGGAGAAAAGCAGGGGAUCGCAAGACCUUGCGCUUUAGGAGCGGCCGAUGCCUGAUUAGCUUGUUGGUAAGGUAAAAGCUUACCAAGGCUUCGAUCAGUAGCUGGUCUGAGAGGACGACCAGCCACACUGGGACUGAGACACGGCCCAGACUCCUACGGGAGGCAGCAGUGGGGAAUUUUGGACAAUGGGGGAAACCCUGAUCCAGCCAUGCCGCGUGAGUGAAGAAGGCCUUCGGGUUGUAAAGCUCUUUCAGCCGGAACGAAACGGUUACGAUUAAUACUCGUAAUUAAUGACGGUACCGGCAGAAGAAGCACCGGCUAACCACGUGCCAGCAGCCGCGGUAAUACGUAGGGUGCGAGCGUUAAUCGGAAUUACUGGGCGUAAAGGGUCCGCAGGUUGUUUUGUAAGUCAGAUGUGAAAGCCCCGGGCUUAACCUGGGAACUGCGUCUGAAACUACAAGGCUAGAGUAUGGCAGAGGGGGGUGGAAUUCCGCGUGUAGCAGUGAAAUGCGUAGAUAUGUGGAGGAACACCGAUGGCGAAGGCAGCCCCCUGGGUCAAUACUGACGCUGAGGGACGAAAGCAUGGGGAGCAAACAGGAUUAGAUACCCUGGUAGUCCAUGCCCUAAACGAUGUCAACUAGUUGUCGGGCCUUUACGGGCUUGGUAACGUAGCUAACGCGUGAAGUUGACCGCCUGGGGAGUACGAUCGCAAGAUUAAAACUCAAAUGAAUUGACGGGGACCCGCACAAGCGGUGGAUUAUGUGGAUUAAUUCGAUGCAACGCGAAAAACCUUACCUACCCUUGACAUGUAUCGAAGCCCGCAGAAAAGCGGAGGUGCCCGAAAGGGAACGAUAACACAGGUGCUGCAUGGCUGUCGUCAGCUCGUGUCGUGAGAUGUUGGGUUAAGUCCCGCAACGAGCGCAACCCUUGUCAUUAAUUGCCAUCAUUUAGUUGGGCACUUUAAUGAGACUGCCGGUGACAAACCGGAGGAAGGUGGGGAUGACGUCAAGUCC